AUUUAAGCAGCUGUUUGUUAUUUCUAUACUCGAACUUGAUAAGCCAGUAAGGGAGAAGGGAACCAGAGAAACACGCAAAUGGUGUCUUCAGGAUUAUGCUUCUCAAUCUUGGAAUAUGUCUUGCAGAUCACUUUUUUCAGGUCGCGUUGCAUCAAAUCUCUGAAUAUGUUUCACAACUGGCCUUCUUGAUACCUGUUUGUGACAGCAACAUUCUUCCAUGCUAGCUGGUGAGGUCUUCAUGCUGUUGAAAGGGAAACUUGUUGAAGAAGAGGGGAAUUUUACAUUGUGGCUUUCCUAUAUUCUGACAGUUGUUGGAGCAAACCUUGUUUCACAGUUAGUUUUACUGAGAAAUGCAGUUUCUGUAUGAGCUUCUUGUGCUGUUUUUGGAUUAUUUGUGAUCAGUGUCCUUGUAAAGGUAACUAAUGUUUUGAAUGCACAUGUCUAUUUGAAAUUAAAAUGCAUCAUGCAUGAACUUUCUAACCUCCUUUUCUUUAUUGUAGAUAACAUGGAACUUGAAAAAGAUCCUUGAAGUGCUUAUAUUAGGCCAGUUUGUUAGAGAUGGUGAGCACUUCCGGUACCUUUACAAAUUAGAAUUUCCAUAUGAAUUACAAAUUAUAAGAAACAAGCAAGUCCCAGGGAGUUGACAAAGUGUAUGCUGACAAUUGUUCUUCCCACGAAAGAUGGAUGCGAGGGGAAGUAAAAUGUAUGCAUUGUUCAAUCUGAGCUUUAUUACAAGUGCUGAUAGCUCCUUUGAGAAGACAUGAAGUUGAGCCUUUGGCCAUGGUUGAUGUUCCUAAAACUAAAACAGUCAUUUAAUUAAACUGAUUAUCACCAUUGACUAUCAAACUGACUUCAAACGCAUGCAUUCUUAUGUUUGUUUGGUGGAGAUUUAACUUAAACAUCUUAUGUUACAAGUAAUGAAGGCAACCCAAUCUUCAGCAACAUUUUUAGGCACUUUUCAUGGAGGCUACCCUAUUCAGAGUGUCAAUCAUAUUGCACAUCUAUCUGGUGCUCUUACUGUUGUGGUUUUGGUAUGGCAUAUCAGCAGAAUUCCCUCCUCAGACCAUGAAGCAUCAACAUUUCAUGGAAAAUAAAGCAAAGGUCGAUAAGAAACUUCCAAGAUGUGUAUCCCAUAAAUGUGUAUAAACAGAAGGAUUUCAUUACAUAAUUCCUUUCUUAUGAUGAUUUAUAUUUGUUGGAGAUUUGUGAAUUUCAUGGAUAUUUUGCUAUGUAUGCAUUUGCUAGUGAUGCAUCAGAGUCUGAUUUAAUUAUAAGCCAUAGUCAUGGCCGAGGUAUUCAUGUUGAUAUGAAAUGUAAAUGUUAUGAGGUUAUAAACCAUUUAGCUAUGCAA
Long non-coding RNA from Hevea brasiliensis (rubber tree), 1351 nucleotides. RefSeq lists it as uncharacterized. Lineage: Eukaryota; Viridiplantae; Streptophyta; Magnoliopsida; Malpighiales; Euphorbiaceae. The transcript is spliced from 3 exons. The record is from RefSeq and is a predicted model, not a curated record.